RNAcentral lists this long non-coding RNA (1101 nucleotides) under Anser brachyrhynchus (Pink-footed goose). Its description in RNAcentral is "lncRNA (ENSABRG00000017672.1)". Lineage: Eukaryota; Metazoa; Chordata; Aves; Anseriformes; Anatidae. The record is from RNAcentral.
AUGGCUCCUCGCACCGGGUGCCUCUCUCUGGGUCUGGGCGUUCGGAGCAGGUUUUGUGGCACGGGGACAGGCGUUCGGACUGCGGGACCCUGGCCACACGCCUCUGCCCCGCGCUUCUCGGACAGCCAGCGAGCGCCAGAGCCCGAGGCGCGACCGGCAGGGUUUCCUCCAGCACAAGUUUCAAGCUCUGAGCUCACGCAGGAGAUGGAAACACCAGAGCCGGUCCAAGACCCGGGAACACUCCAUCCCGAGCGAGCUCUGUGCAGUUCAGGAAGGCAGAAGCCAACAUUUCGGUUCCAGGGCAGGGUUUUGUUUUUUUUUUUCCGUACCGUGAGCUCCAUUUCACGCGAAAGCACACCCGGCGGGGCUGCCACGCUCCGGAGCGCGCACGGCCCCCCGCGGCUGCCCCAACGGGACGGGGGCACGCCGAGCCCCCGGGGCCACACGGCUCCCGGCCAGGCCCAGCCGGGAAGCCCCGGGAAGCCCGGCCCUGCCCUGCGGAAAGCCCCCGGGAAGCGGCCGGGGGACGGGGAGGGGGGGGGCUCGGCCGGCCACGGAGCCCCGCGGAGGGGCCGCGGCCCUCGCCCCCCACCGGGCCGGGCCGCCCCGCGCACCUACCUGCUGGGCUCGGCUGGGCUCGGCUGGGCUCGGCUGGGCUGGACUGGGCUGGGCUGGGCGCUGCGCUGCCUCCUUCCUUCCCUCCCUGCCUCCCUCCGGCGCCGUGUCCCCGGCCGGGCUCCCUACCCCGCGGGGCGGAGCCGGCGGCUGCGCUCAGCCGGCCCCGGGGCGGGCCCCCCGGCCCCCUGCCCGCCCAUGUGGCAGGCGAAGGCCGAGGCCCUGCACGCAGCGGCCCCAGCCCCGCGACCCGCUGAACACCGGGCAUUUUGCUGCCCCGGCGAGCCCUGUAAACACCAGCAGCGUUCCCCGUCCGAGCCCCACUCAGCCCUUUUCAGCCUGCUUGCCCCAGCGGGGGCGGAGAGGUGCUGGGGCGGCUGCUGGCUCUGCUGCCCGCUGUCAGUGCGUUGUUUCCCCGGCUUCGCACUUCUGUGCGGAAGGCAUCGAGCUCGCAGCACCGCGUCUUUGUUCGUGGUGUUGGAAUAA